CCUACGGGCGGCAGCAGUGGGGGAUAUUGCACAAUGGGCGAAACCCUGAUGCAGCGACGCCGCGUGUGGGAAGACGGUCUUCUGGAUUGUAAACCACUGUCCCCAGGGACGAAAAUGACGGUACCUGGGGGGGAAGCUCCGGCAAACUACGUGCCAGCAGCCGCGGUAAAACGUAGGGAGCAAGCGUUGUCCGGAAUUACUGGGGGUAAAGGGAGCGUAGGCGGGGAUGCAAGUCGGGUGUGAAAGCUACCGGCUCAACCGAUGGUGGCAUUCAAAACUGCAGCUCUUGAGUGAAGUAGAGGCAAGCGGAAUUCCUAGUGUAGCGGUGAAAUGCGUAGAUAUUAGGAGGAACACCAGUUGCGAAGGCGGCCUGCUGGACUUUUACUGACGCUGAGGCUCGAAAGUGUGGGGAGCAAACAGGAUUAGAUACCCUAGUAGUC
RNAcentral lists this ribosomal RNA (440 nucleotides) under uncultured bacterium. RNAcentral's name for it is "partial 16S ribosomal RNA". It matches the Rfam family "Bacterial small subunit ribosomal RNA", at positions 338 to 795 of the family's 1533-position model. The record is from RNAcentral.